AGACACACUCAUGGGGCAAGACUUGCUUCAGUGAGGCUUUGGUGUUCACUGAGUCUGCCCCCUGAGUGUGUCCCU
RNAcentral lists this microRNA precursor (75 nucleotides) under Myotis davidii. RNAcentral's name for it is "mir-9229 microRNA precursor family". It matches the Rfam family "mir-9229 microRNA precursor family". The record is from Rfam by way of RNAcentral. Lineage: Eukaryota; Metazoa; Chordata; Mammalia; Chiroptera; Vespertilionidae.